AGUGUGAAUUUCAUAGCUAUAGCAAAAGCAGCAAUGGCGACGAGUGAGGAGAAGACCAAAGAAGGGAACAACCUACUGGGGUCGCCAACCUUCAAGGAGCUCGACAAUGGUCGCUUCCAGUGCGUCGAGACUGGGCACCAAUUGCUUGCCAAAGACAUUGAAACCUACUCUCAGAGCAAACGGUGUCGUUUGGGUCUCAUCGAAUUCGCACUCUCUCAUAAUAAACCUCCUCUCAACAUGUUCAAGCAGGACCCUCUUUCUCGUUCAAAGUUGGUGUGUAAGCUAACGGAGGAUACCAUCAAUAAGUCGGAGGAACACAUUUGGAAGCAUAUCAAUGGGAAACGAUUCCUCAACAGACUGGAGGAAAUGGAAGAAGGAAAGCUAAAUUUAAAUAAAAUGGAAGAAGAGCUGGAUGAUCAGGAACCUGAGAAAGCAUCUAAGCCUGGCAAAGAUGGAGCCAGGAAGGAGAAGAAGGAGAAGAAAAAGAAGAAGAAAAAGGAGGUGAAGGUGGAGGAGGACGGUGAUGAUGAGAUUAUCUCUGAAACACCCAAGUCUCAUAGUGAGGAAAGUGAUUCUGAAGAAGCUGAGUUUUGGAUCCCUCCACCAGGAGCACGCUGGGAUUUUGAUGAUGGCGGUGACAGAUGGGGAUCUGAUUCGGAGUCAGAGAGCAAUGAUGAGAACAAAAGUGAUGAGGUUGAUGGAAUUGUUGAAGAUGGUGACGAGGAGUCAGAAGAGAUCUCAAUGCGGACAAAAAGAAUGUCCAUAGAAAUUGGACCAAGCAGCUUUGCCUCAAGAAAGAAGAAGAGUAAGAAGAACACUGCAUGAUCUGACCACCUUUGCUUCAACUUUAAAGAGCAUCUGAUGUAGAAAAGUUUUUAUAUUAAACACAGAGAGCAUGGUGAAAGAGAAACGAUAUCUGAAGGUUUCAAAAACACAAUUCUUCUUCCUUGCACUUGGUCAAUUUUCAUUAUUCCCGUAGUCUUUUUUGCUUUGUAUCUCAUUUGUGGGACAAAUGGGUGAGGAUUGUGCCACUAACACAUCUUUUCCUUUAAUGUACCACCCAAGUAAAUGGACAUGGUUGAACCGAAAAGAAAUAGAUGUUGGAGGCACUCUAGUAGUUGGGUUUCAUUUGGUGUAAUCCUAAAUUAAGUUUUUUGAACUCCUGUAGAAUAUGAAUUUUUGCGUUUUGAUCAAUUCUUUGACAUUGUUGUAUAUCUAUGGCACUGAACUGAUUGCCUGUUUUCUUCUGAUGAAAUAUAGCACAAAUUGAAACAGAAGCGGGCUUGGAUAAUAUACAUGAACAGCAUAGACAUUAGACAACAUUAGCAUUACACAAAAUACUUCAAAACAAAUAAAACAGAAAUCAAGUAAAGUUGCAAAUGGAAUUUAUUCUGACAUUAACCCAUACUCAAUAGUAGAGUUUUGGAGACGAAUAGAUAUGGUCAUGGAGAGGAGUGGAAGACCCUUUUUUCCAGGAAAACAAGUCCUGUAGUAGAGGAACAAUAGGCUUCUUCUUCAUCAUCUUAUAAUUCCUCUCUCUUUUUCCUCCACUCCCAUAAUAACCAUGUUGAGAACCAAUGGUCAACAUCUGAGCCAAAGAGGUAGAGUCCUCCAUCCUUAUCAUCGACCACGGAUCCUUCUUGACAUUCCUCUCUGCUUCCUCCGGAUUUGAUCUCAUCGAACUGAUAGCAUGAUGAUCACUACUAGCCGCUGCCUUUCCUGCUGCGGCCGCCUCAGCCUGAGCCAACUUGGACAUGUUCUUGUGAAGCUCUGCAUUCAAGGUUGCCAAUGCCACCUCGGUUUCAGACUCUCUCUCCUUGAGCAACUUCAACUCCACCUUGGUUUCCUCAAGCUCAGCCUCAAGUUUCUUUAGACUAUCCAAAAUAAGAUCACUUUCUUCACUAUGUGGGUCAGCACUGGUACUUGGUGAGAUGACAAACUUGUUCCUUGAUGAAGAAGUUUCUGUUUCUUGCAUAGUGUAAAAUGGCGGCAGCUGUGGCGGUUUAGGGGAUGGUGAUGGUGAGAAGAACUCUCCUAGGAGAAGCCGCUCUCCGAAGACGGCAACAGCUUCCUUGACGGAGCUGAAGGGUCUUGAAGUGUCAACAUUGGCGCGGUAAUCAUGUGGCACUGGAACGACUUGAAGAUUUUGGGUCUCCAUUGAAAGAAUUGAAGGUAGGAGACAGAAUGUGGUUUGAGGAGUGAAUAUAUUUGAUACAUGAUUGGGAACUUGGGAUCAUGAGGUUGGUUAUUUCUUCGCUUGCACUUCAAGUGUACGGACCCUUCAUCAGUAGAGACUUGGUUUCAAUGUCAAGACAAUAUAAGUGUGUGACAUGAAUUAAGG
RNA transcript from Fragaria vesca subsp. vesca, 2341 nucleotides. RefSeq lists it as uncharacterized. NCBI's taxonomy places the organism in Eukaryota, Viridiplantae, Streptophyta, Magnoliopsida, Rosales, Rosaceae. The transcript is spliced from 5 exons. The record is from RefSeq and is a predicted model, not a curated record.